Long non-coding RNA from Gasterosteus aculeatus aculeatus (three-spined stickleback), 2493 nucleotides. The record is from Ensembl. NCBI's taxonomy places the organism in Eukaryota, Metazoa, Chordata, Actinopteri, Perciformes, Gasterosteidae.
CGAUAGGACUUGGAGCAAUAAUGGUGGUUUGGAGUCCAAGGAGACAUCUCCAAUUCCUUUGUUUUGUCCGUUCAACAGCCCAAAAUCCCAACGUGAGUCGAUAAAGGGGAGACUUCUUCUCCUCUCAGGGUUCAUGGUGUCGUUGGGCAUUUGGACGGUGCUGACCGUGAUGCCGCCGUACAAACAGAUCAGUGUGUGUAAGAAGCCUGUGAGUCCAUGCUGCUCUCCCUUCUCCUUUAUCCUCUCCUCCUCUAGUCUCACCCUUCUCACCCUCUCGCUUUAAUCAGCUCUCGCUCUGUCCAGUGCUGCUGUAGUAAGCUACGGCAUUAUACAGUCUGUGCAUGUGUAUGAAUGUGUGUGUGUGUGUUGUGGAGAUCUGUCUGUCCCUUCAUUUGUCCAGUUGUUACUCAUCAUGCCUGCGUUAUUCAUCUUCACCCAUACAGUCUUAAACACCAAUGUACCAAUGCACCAAAGUGUGCUUUCAACAAGACAUUUAUAAGAAGCUGUGAUGGUUUACUGCCCAUAUCAAGUUUGCUGACAUUUGCACCACGCUGGAGCUCGAGAUGCUCAGUGUGUAGAUCAGGUAUGUUUCUCAUCGGGAGGCUCCGUCUUAAGGAGUUUGUCCAUCUGUUGACCACAGACGUCCGGUGUGACACAGAGACGCUACGACCACUGCUCAAAUGUCUCUCUCUGACACUUAAUUUCUUCCCCUUUUCUCUCCUUUUUAAUCUAUUGCUUCACUUCAACAUCUCUGUCUCUCCCUCUGCUUCAUGUCACUUUCCUCUUUGUCAGACUCACACACGCACAUACAAACACACGUAGUCUCCUCCGGCUAAGCGGUGACACACCGUGUAUACAGAGUGGAUGUGUGUGUGUUUUGGUGCACACUUGAUUUUGUGCAUUGAUGUGCAUCUAAGUAAGUGAUUUGGUAUAUUAAUCAUUCAAGUCUUUUAUCAAACAGAAAUGUCAAUUAAUCGCUGGCUUCACAUUCUCACAUGUUGACGCUUUGUUACUCCUCUACACCUUCAAUCAUUGCAAAUUUAAAGGCGUCGCUUUGGCAAAUUUAAUGAAUAUUUUUCACAAUUGCGACAGUGUAUCUUGAAAUACAUUAAAUAGGCUCUGAACAUGAGAUAACUGCCCCGGUCAGUAUAAAAGAAAACUCCUGGUUAACUUGCAGUGAGCAUUUAUUUCAGUGCUUUUCUGUCAUUUUAACAUAUAACAAAUCUCUAAUGUCACCUUAGAGUCGUGGAACCUUACUGGUCACAAUAGUAAUCAACUUGAAACUGAGACUUGUGAUAAUUUGACACUUUAUGCUUUAGUAUCUUUAUAAGCGGUUGCAUGUUUGUUUACGUGCUGUAAGUAAAGAUGCUUGGGCGAGCUUCUUAUUAGCCAGGAAGUGAUCUCACACUCGCAGUGCUCCUCUGGCGUUCAUGCUGUCACUUUCUUCUUCUUCUUCUUCUUCUCUUCUUCUUCUUCUUCUUCUUCUUCUUCUUCUUCUUCUUCUUCUUCUUCUUCUUCUUCUUCUUCUUCUUCUUCUUCAAAGAUCUCCUUUUCUCCUCACACAGCACUAAUGACACAGUGUGGCUUCAAACCCUCCAUUCUGGCUCUAUUUAUAAAACGGCUAGUUGCCGUGGCACUGACUCACUGUCAGCAAGCGGCAUUGAAACUGACUUCGCCACACACACACACACACACACACACACACACACGUAAAAAACCCUAAUACGAGUACAUAGACAAACACAGACACCAAAGGAUCACAGAGUUGUGGGAAGGCCUUAACCUCUUCGCAGCCAGCGUUGCUGUGGAGACGGGGAUUCAGGAAGCUGGGCUUUGCCAGCGGUCUAGCUGGGGGCCAGCUGCAGGCGGAGGAGGAUGUUUUUGGCAACACUAGCCCUGAUGGAAAACCCAGCCGCUGUGUCGGACUCAUUGCAUCGUGUAUAGAAACAUUCCCACUCUGUGACGCCGCUUGGUCGCUCCACAGUUUAAUCUGCUGCAGCCCUGGUGGGGGGAGGGGGGGGGGCCUGCUCAUUGCAGCCAGCAGAACUUAGUAACCCUGUGAAGUGCUCACACUUUAAACUGGUUGUUGAGUUUCUCAUGGACCAGAGGGACUGUUCUUCUGUCAGUGGGUUGGGGUAGGGUAGAGUUGAGUUAGGUUGGGUAAGGUUGGGGUAGGGUUGGUAGGGUUAGGUUGGGGUAGAGUGGGGUUGGGUUAGGGUUGGGUUGGGGUAGAAGUGGGUUGGGUUAGGGUUGGGUUGCGUUAGGUUGGGUUAGGGUUGGGUUGGGUUGCGUUAGGGUUGGGUUGGGUUAGGUUGGGGUAGAGUGGGGUUGGGUUAGGGUUGGGUUGGGUUAGGGUUGGGUUGGUUGUGUUAGGGUUGGGUUAGGGUUGGGUUGCGUUAGGGUUGGGUUCGGUUAGGGUUGGGUUGGGUUAGGGUUGGGUGGGUAGCGUUAGGGUUGGGUUGCGUUAGGGUUGGGGUUGGGUUAGGGUUGGGU